Rhinolophus ferrumequinum (greater horseshoe bat) is the source of this 3800-nucleotide long non-coding RNA. RefSeq lists it as uncharacterized. The transcript has 9 exons. Lineage: Eukaryota; Metazoa; Chordata; Mammalia; Chiroptera; Rhinolophidae. The record is from RefSeq and is a predicted model, not a curated record.
CUCUCUCUCUCUCUCUCUCUCUCUCUCUCUCUCUCUCUCCCUCUCCCUCCCUGGAAGAAGGGAAUGAGGCAGGGCUGACGUGAAGGGAUGCAAAACAGCUCCUCCUAAGCCAGCUCGCAGAGGAAGAGAGACCGAAAAGCAGCCCUUUUAUCUCUCUUUUGUUUUCUCACUUCCUUCCACCCCCCCACACCCCCCUCCUGUCAGCCCAAGUUUUCUUUUCUCUUUCCACCACAGAGAGGAUUUUUUUCUUCCUCUCUUUCUCUGCCUUUCGGUUCAACUCUCCCACUCAAAUGGAACGCCUGGAGGGUUUCUCGCUCUCCUUUUUUUUCUUCCCUCUUUUCUUCCUUCUUCCUCCUUUCUUAUUUCUCUAAAAGGGUUUUGUUUGCUGUGGGAGUUUCGUUUGAAAAUCAAGUCACGCCUUUUUUCCUCCUUUUCUUUCUCUCUCUUUUUUUCUCCUCAGAAAAGGGGAACAAAGAUGAACUGAAGCGGAGGAGAGGGAGAGCGGCAGGGCCUCUCAUGGAAAUGGGGGGCCCUGCCUGGCACAAAGGGGGCCGGGGGACUUCGCGCCCCCCGGCCCCAAGGGAAGCCCCGGGCGUCCUCGGGAAGGGGAGUCAGUGGGGCAGGGGGCGCGGCUGCCGGGUGCCGCCCAGUCGCCGCUCCCCGGCCUGAGGUGGAAGUCUAGGUGUGUUCUCUACUCCUGUAUUUUUAAAGUAGGCAGAUGGGCUCGGAACAGGCGUCCCCGCACCGCACUGAACUGUAAAAGAGCCUUCAAACAGCUGUUUGUAGAGCCCUGGACAGCCAGGCUCGAGGGAGCGGCGCGGGACGCGAGCGCGCGCCGGGGCCCAGUGGGGCAGGGGCUGGAGAAGCCGGGGUCGGGCCCUCGUGGGCCCUCCAAUCCCAGGGCCUGGGCCUCGGCCCCAGACGCACUGCUGGGGGCGCCGAGGCGUGGCCGAUCGCGGCGCGGGGGUCAGGCCGCUGCGCCUCCCUGCGGGGGCUCGGCACGGCCUGGCCUCCUCCCAGCUCCAGGGCAGGCCGGACCCUCGGCCUCCGACCUUCAGCACGCUGGCCACUCGGAGGGAGCCGCUUCUCGCCUCCGAAGCUGGGCGGGGCCGGAGUCCUCGGACAGAGCCGGGCCGAGCCGCCACGGAGGGUCAAUUAUUCAUGGGGCGCCCGGGCGUGCUCCCAAGACCUGCUCUGCCCUCAGCUUCUCCGGAGAAGUGGGGAGAAGACAGGGGAAAAGUUCGCAGAGCAAAGUUGGCCACAUUUCUCAUUUUCUCAAGUGGCCUGGAUUGGGAACUCCUAUGUCUGAUCAAGGUGGCAAGGGUGUAGUCUCAGGAACAUGACUGGAAUGUCAAGACUGGUUACAAAGGCCUCAUCAGUGGAACUGUAGCCUGCCUGAAGAACAAACAGGAAUCAGAAGAGAGUGGGCCUUGUAAAAUCCAGAAGGGCGAAUGGGAGCAGAUUGCCUCCCUGGGAGACCCUGUCUGGACAGGUGACCCAUCAUCGCCUUCUCUGACUCCUUUUUACUUUCCGAAUGUCCACCUCCGGGGGUUGUUGGGAGGAAUUAAACCAGGCAUUAAUUAAACAUGUUGUCUGGUGGGAAAGAAAAGACAUCAUUGUGAAGCCAUGAUGAGCACGAUGAGAGGGGAAUUACCGUCUUUUCCACCAAGGAAGCAAGCCCAGCUCAAAGCCGGUCUUCCUCCCAGAAGCGCUUCCAGAUCCCUUUGGGCCAGCGGUUUCAAAGCUGAAAUUCUUCAGAAUCACCUCAGAAGCCAAAUUUGCAUAUGCUUGCUGUGAAAACAUCAAACCACACUAACAGGUCUACAGCAACGAGUGACCGUGCCCCCUCCUCCACACUCAAGCCCCUUCCCCAGUGAUUUUCCAAGGAAUGCACUGGGUGUUCAAUGAAGCCCCUCCACUCAGACUGGCUAGGACUCAAACAUCCCUGAGCCCUGAAUGAGCUGCAGGAAUUGUUCAGCUUCCAGCUCUGAUAGUGUGCUUUGCCUGCCCUGCAAAUAUGGACACUAGGUGUGAUGUCUGGACCAUGGCAGCUAUUGUGUGACCAUGAGGCAGCUAUACACUAAAGAUGGUGAAGUGGAAAGACGUGGUCUGAAAACCUUCUGUUAAUACCUGUGUCAAUCGGCUGGGAAGUUGCAGUGUAUCCACUUGCAGGAUGGGUGUCAGCCAUUUGGAAAAAAAUUGCAAAGGCAGUGGCAGAUGUCCUCAUCUCUGGGCUAAGGGAUCCUAUGUCAACAAUGCACUAACAAUAUACUGUGGAGAAGGACUCGAUCAUCCCCAACUCUGCGUUGAAAAGGGAUUCAGAAGGAUCAUUUUCUACAGCAGUCUCUUCUGUGAAGAAGUUUUAGGAUCACUUUCCAAUUUAUUUCGCUUCUGUUUUCCUUUCUACCUAUGCACAAGAGUGAUAUACGGUAAAAAUGUAUGUCUGAAUAAGCCGAGAAAGAGCUUUCUCAAGAAGCAUCAACCAAAAUCCUAAAUAAUAAGACAGUGUCGUUCAUAAUUUCAUUGGCAGCUUGCUUGUCUUUCUUAGGAGGACCUGAAAUAACAGUGUGUCUUCUAACUGAUGGCAUUCAUUUCAGUAAAGUGCAAAAUUAUAGAGAGAAUAAAGACAGAAAAAAAAAAGGAAUUAAUAUCCAGCUUCUGACAUUCAAAAUAAAAUUAUGCAGGAAGAAAUUAGCCUUGCAGAAUGGGUGUCUUUCUUAAAAGAAGAUCUAAAUUAUUUUCUUUGGAUCCUAGGCACACUUGCAAGCUCCUUCCUUUAGCAUUUCAGCAGCUGAGCCCCAAGGACUCAGCCUGUGGGGUCCUCUGUGAGUGGAGAAGGCAAUCCUUCCCGCUCUGCAAGGCAGGCCACGAGCUUUGCUGCCAUUCCCUGGAGAGACGUGGGGCAGAGCAGGGGGGAAGCCUCUCUGUCUCAGGCCCCAGGGAAAGUGGGAAGAUGAAACAGUGAAGGAGGAGGAGGAGGAGGAGAGCAAGUCAGACAGAAAUGAGAGCCACUUAGUUAAGUCAGUAACUCAGUGACACGCCUGGUUGAGGGGGCUUUGCGUCUCUUCCUGCUUGGAGCCCCUGGAGGAGGCUGCACCAUCACAGAAGAAGGGGCCCUGAGGUGCCCACCCCUGAGCCUCUGUAGCGUCCCCAUGGGUACAUGGGAUCCUGACAUUUCCGGAGGGGUCACUGGGGUGUGACAUCACCCUGGAAUCAGCAGGGACCUGAGCACACCCACCGCCGAACACCCGGAGUCACCCUCAUACCCUAUCCCUGGGCUCCCAGAAGCCACACUUCUUCCCCUCUCCUCCCAAGUCGCCAUCUGGACAGUGGCGGAAGACACCUUUUUCCUUAGAGACUGAGCCUUGCGUAUAAGGAUUAUUGGGUAGGACUAAGAUUUUAAAGGUAACUUCCCCCCCACACACACACUAGCCAGAGACGAGGACAUUGGAAGACCAAAAAAAUAAAAGAGCUACAUUUUUUCAUCACAUCCCAGAUACUGUUGCACUGCAUUUUGAGACCUGCUAUAUUUAUAAAAAGGAAAGCUUGGAAACCACUUAAAAGCACUGCUUAGGAGAAUGAUAUCACAACUUAUUACACGUGCAUAAAAUAUAAUUUUGCCCAGUUAUUAAAAUGAUAUUUAUGUACUAUUUUAAUCACACAACUAGUGGAAAUCAAGAAAUAAAUGUGUAUGUACUGGAAGAUCUCAAUUAUAUGUACAAAAUAGACUGGAGGAAAUGCACGAAAAUGUUGACUACAGUUACUUUGAAUGGCGGAGUAUCGGUGAUUUUAAUUCUUUA